KSYSRCCAMCMMCYYYSYUKYYYYMSSMSRYSGYRGCWGCUGCUKYKYUSCUCCUGUGCUGCYAAAGGCAYGCACCRCCGCUGCUCCGCCUUGAGGCCCACCACAGCCACRUGGGAGUGUGACGACUGCGCGGGCCUGGGCACUGCCUCCAGCGCACAGUCGGGGACGGCCAGCUCCAGCACCAGCAGCCAAGCAGCAUCGUCUCCCAGCUCCCAGGCUCCUGCGAGCAGCAGACGGUCAGGCCAGACGGGGCCAGAGCGAAGGGCAGGCCGCUCCCGGUUAAGUCGCCACUCACAACAUCCUUACAGCUGGCCCUGAAGAGGCAGCGCUGCCCCAGCCCAUGCGGGCUCCUUCUUCUCGGCAGUUCUGUGCAUCGGGCCUUGUGGCAGCCCCAAGGCAUGCCACCGGUCCCCAGCCCCUGCCAGAGGGAGCCCCGUGAGCCUGCUGCCUGCGCCCAGCCUGUGUCCACAGACCAGAUGCACUGGACAGGGGGACACUGCCUUCCCGCCACAGGCAACCACCCUGUGUCUGACUCUCAGUAAAGAGAACUGUAUUCUAGACCUGUGGCAAGAGCUGUGGCAUUAUUGGAGUUAUGAGUGAGACCUAAGGGUAAAAGUCAGCUUUGUCCGAGAGAGCAAAUUGCCCUAGAGCUGCAGUAUACACAGUGGGUCCCCAGGGCACGGAGGUCCUUAGUUCCUGGGGUGGCCCAGGAACUCACCAGCUGGUCUCUGCAUUGCUGAGACAAUUGGACCGACUGGUGGCAAUGCACCAACUGGAGACCAGGUGCCUGGCUGCAGAGGCUGAGAGAGGAGGGACUGUUUAGCCCGGAGAAGGGAAGGCUCCGGCUCUGGGGGGAAUCCCCUCAACGUUGAGAGGUAUCUGAUAGGAGGGUGUCAGGAAGACGGAGGCAGACUCUUCUCCGGGGUGCCCCGUGAGCGGACAAGAGGCAAUGGGCACAAACUGAAACACAGGAAGUUCCAUCUGAACAUGAGAAAAAACUUCUUCACUGUGACGGUGACAGAGCACCGGAACAGGUUGCCCAGAGAGGUUGUGGAGUCUCCUUCUCUGGACAUAUUCAAAACCCGCCUGGACGCGAUCCUGUACAACGUGCUCUAGGUGACCCUGCUUGAGCAGGGGGGUUGGACUUAGACAAUCUCCAGAGGUCCCUUCCAACCUCAACCUUUCUGUGAUUCUGUGAAAAUAACAGUCCCAUAACUACAGGCAAUUCCAGUAUUUUAUAUUCACUUCUAACGUCCUCUGAAAGGAUCAUAUCUAUAAUAUAAUAAAACACCUACAGACUMUAGUAGGACUGGGAUU
Molecule: long non-coding RNA, 1317 nt
Filed under: Apteryx rowi (Okarito brown kiwi)
Lineage: Eukaryota; Metazoa; Chordata; Aves; Apterygiformes; Apterygidae
Description: lncRNA (ENSARWG00000015202.1)
Source: RNAcentral